AUACUUAGGGUGCAAGCGUUAAUCGGAAUUACUGGGCGUAAAGCGCUCGUAGGCGGCUUGUUAAGUCGGAUUUGAAAUCCCCGGGCUCAACCUGGGAACUGCAUUCGAUACUGGCAGACUAGAGUAUAGUAGAGGCAAGUGGAAUUCCGGGUGUAGCGGUGAAAUGCGUAGAUAUCCGGAGGAACAUCAGUGGCGAAGGCGACUUGCUGGACUAAUACUGACGCUAAGGAGCGAAAGCGUGGGGAGCAAACGGGAUUAGAAACCCCAGUAGUCC
This 274-nucleotide ribosomal RNA is filed under the name uncultured bacterium. Its description in RNAcentral is "partial 16S ribosomal RNA". It matches the Rfam family "Bacterial small subunit ribosomal RNA", at positions 523 to 796 of the family's 1533-position model. The record is from RNAcentral.